GACGAACGCUGGCGGCGUGCUUAACACAUGCAAGUCGAACGAUGAAGCCGGAGCUUGCUCUGGUGAAUUAGUGGCGAACGGGUGAGUAACACGUGAGUAACCUGCCCUUGACUCUGGGAUAACUGCGGGAAACUGUAGCUAAUACCGGAUACGACCCUCGGAGGCAUCUCCUGGGGGUGGAAAGAAUUUCGGUCAAGGAUGGACUCGCGGCCUAUCAGCUAGUUGGUGAGGUAAAGGCUCACCAAGGCGACGACGGGUAGCCGGCCUGAGAGGGUGACCGGCCACACUGGGACUGAGACACGGCCCAGACUCCUACGGGAGGCAGCAGUGGGGAAUAUUGCACAAUGGGCGCAAGCCUGAUGCAGCAACGCCGCGUGAGGGAUGACGGCCUUCGGGUUGUAAACCUCUUUUAGCAGGGAAGAGGCGAUAGUGACGGUACCUGCAGAAAAAGCAUCGGCUAACUACGUGCCAGCCGCCGCUGUAA
Molecule: ribosomal RNA, 484 nt
Filed under: uncultured bacterium
Lineage: Bacteria
Description: partial 16S ribosomal RNA
Rfam family: Bacterial small subunit ribosomal RNA
Source: RNAcentral